GCGGGGGGCUGGACUCGAUGAUCUUCUGAGGUCCCUUCCACCCCUAAUGUCUAUAACAUUUGUUUCAGUUCACAUGGAUCCCUACUGCAAUGUAUUUUAUGCUGAAACUGAAGUUCAAAUGAAGCCAGUAUCUCUAAGGGAAUCUUGGUGUAUUUAGCACCAAGGGGAAAUAAGCUAGAGAUGGGGGAAAUCUUUUGGGAAAACUGUCUGUGUGAAGUGUGUGAAUCAAAAUGGCCCUUCCCUAGCAGAGCACUCAGUGUUUCAACUGCCACCUUUUCUUGUUUGCAGUAUUCCCAGAAGAAAUUAGAAUAGUGAAACAAGGCCUUCAUUUCCCUGCACCAGCAGGCCUAAUUAUUAACCUGGUUUGGCUUUAAGGGUAGGCAAAGUCCAUGUCUUUUUCCCCUAACAAGAAGUUAGUAAUAGCAAAAAAGCAAGUUUAAACGUGAAACAGUUGUUGUUCACAAGCAAUAAUUGUGUUCUCUCAAAAAUGGCAAUGUUCUGGAUCAUGCUGAGAGACAGCAGAGGAUGACAGGCAAUAAUUUCUGUUUGGGACCUCUUGUGUUCCAGCUACAUGGAUGUGAAAGGACUGUACAGCACAUGAAUGUUACAUCUCAUAAAUUCUGCGUGCUUUCAAAACUGCAGGGGCCAGGGUUCAUGAGGAGCUGAAUUACCUCCUUCAGCUGUGACCAAGUGGCCUAUUGGAAGCAGCUUCUAUGAAAGACAGCUGCCUAAGCAGCCUGCUUAGGUAUGGUUUCAGAAAGAAGUUGUGGACAAAGCAAUAUUGGGAGAACAAUUGCUGAGCAGAGAAGACAGGAAGCAGACCUUGGAAAUGGGAA
Alligator mississippiensis (American alligator) is the source of this 836-nucleotide long non-coding RNA. RefSeq lists it as uncharacterized. Lineage: Eukaryota; Metazoa; Chordata; Crocodylia; Alligatoridae. The transcript is spliced from 3 exons. The record is from RefSeq and is a predicted model, not a curated record.